This 20-nucleotide non-coding RNA is filed under the name Arabidopsis thaliana (thale cress). RNAcentral also lists the same sequence under 2 other names. The record is from RNAcentral. Lineage: Eukaryota; Viridiplantae; Streptophyta; Magnoliopsida; Brassicales; Brassicaceae.
AGCCAAGGGAACGGGCUUGG